Non-coding RNA from Neolamprologus brichardi, 426 nucleotides. The record is from RefSeq and is a predicted model, not a curated record. NCBI's taxonomy places the organism in Eukaryota, Metazoa, Chordata, Actinopteri, Cichliformes, Cichlidae.
GCCCGCCAACCAGUGAACCAGUCGUCAGAAGAUCAGAGUCCGGGGAAAGACGAGGAAGCGGAGGACCCCGCCAACAAAUCCUUCCUGGGCAAGAUUAAAGCGUUUGAGAAGAUGGACCAUCUGGCAAGAGCUCAGAGGAUCCUGGAGCUACAGGAGGCAGAAAACGCUCGAGUCAGUAGUGCUGUCUUUCUUCAUGGUACAGCUGUAAACUUCAGAGCAGGAACAGACACAGCAGGCAGCUUUCAGUUGACGUUUGGCAGUUGAAUCCUGUCAGAUUAAUAGAAAGCUGCAUUUAAAGUUCCUCUUACUUCCCCGUCUGUCCUAAAACAAUCCUGACAUUCCCAUAUCCAAGUCCAGUGUCUAAAAGCAUUUUCUGAUGUUCAGUCAGAUCCAUGAAAUGUACAUAAAGAUGGCUGUGUCCCAACA